This 447-nucleotide ribosomal RNA is filed under the name uncultured Bacillota bacterium. RNAcentral describes it as "bacterial SSU rRNA". It matches the Rfam family "Bacterial small subunit ribosomal RNA", at positions 917 to 1359 of the family's 1533-position model. The record is from RNAcentral. Lineage: Bacteria; Bacillati; Bacillota.
GGACCCGCACAAGCAGCGGAGCAUGUGGUUUAAUUCGAAGCAACGCGAAGAACCUUACCAGAGCUUGACAUCCUACUGACAGAGAGGGUAAUGCUUCUCUUCCUUCGGGCAGUAGAGACAGGUGGUGCAUGGUUGUCGUCAGCUCGUGUCGUGAGAUGUUGGGUUAAGUCCCGCAACGAGCGCAACCCUUGUCUUUAGUUGCCAUCACGUAAAGGUGGGCACUCUAAAGAGACUGGCCGGGGAUAACUCGGAGGAAGGUGGGGAUGACGUCAAAUCAUCAUCGCCCCUUAUGUUCUGGGCUACACACGUGCUACAAUGGUCGGUACAAUGGGAUGCAAUACUGUGAAGUGGAGACAAAUCAACCAAAACCGGUCCCAGUUCGGAUUGCAGGCUAGAAACUCGCCUGCAUGAAGUCGGAGUUGCUAGUAAUCGCAGAUCAGAAUGCUG